CCACCUCAUGGUGGAGGGUGGAAAGUUUUUCGGUCAGGGAUGGGCUCGCGGCCUAUCAGCUUGUUGGUGGGGUAACGGCCUACCAAGGCGAUUACGGGUAGCCGGCCUGAGAGGGCGACCGGCCACACUGGGACUGAGACACGGCCCAGACUCCUGCGGGAGGCAGCAGUGGGGAAUAUUGCGCAAUGGGCGAAAGCCUGACGCAGCGACGCCGCGUGGGGGAUGACGGCCUUCGGGUUGUAAACCUCUUUUACCACCAACGCAGGCCCGGAGUUCUCUUCGGGUUGACGGUAGGUGGGGAAUAAGGACCGGCUAACUACGUGCCAGCAGCCGCGGUAAUACGUAGGGUCCGAGCGUUGUCCGGAAUUAUU
RNAcentral lists this ribosomal RNA (371 nucleotides) under Nocardiopsis sp. Its description in RNAcentral is "bacterial SSU rRNA". It matches the Rfam family "Bacterial small subunit ribosomal RNA", at positions 183 to 555 of the family's 1533-position model. Lineage: Bacteria; Bacillati; Actinomycetota; Actinomycetes; Streptosporangiales; Nocardiopsidaceae. The record is from RNAcentral.